GACGAACGCUGGCGGCGUGCCUAAUACAUGCAAGUUGAGCGCUGAAGGUUGGUACUUGUACCGACUGGAUGAGCAGCGAACGGGUGAGUAACGCGUGGGGAAUCUGCCUUUGAGCGGGGGACAACAUUUGGAAACGAAUGCUAAUACCGCAUAAAAACUUUAAACACAAGUUUUAAGUUUGAAAGAUGCAAUUGCAUCACUCAAAGAUGAUCCCGCGUUGUAUUAGCUAGUUGGUGAGGUAAAGGGCCACCAAGGCGAUGAUACAUAGCCGACCUGAGAGGGUGAUCGGCCACAUUGGGACUGAGACACGGCCCAAGACUCUAAGGGAGGGAACAGGAGGGGAACUUCGGACAUGGAGGAAAGGCUUACCGAAGCACGCCGCGGGAGUGAAGGAGGGUCUCGGGUCGGAAAAGUCCGUUAGUAGGGAAGAACGUUGGUGAGGGUGAAAAGUUCAUCAAGUGACGGUAACUACCGAGAAAGCGACGGCUAACUACGUG
Molecule: ribosomal RNA, 497 nt
Filed under: uncultured bacterium
Lineage: Bacteria
Description: partial 16S ribosomal RNA
Rfam family: Bacterial small subunit ribosomal RNA
Source: RNAcentral